Long non-coding RNA from Triticum aestivum (bread wheat), 3938 nucleotides. RefSeq lists it as uncharacterized. The record is from RefSeq and is a predicted model, not a curated record. The transcript has 6 exons. NCBI's taxonomy places the organism in Eukaryota, Viridiplantae, Streptophyta, Magnoliopsida, Poales, Poaceae.
AAAUAGCCCAGCCCGCACGACCUUCCUCCUCGAUCCAUCUCGACCUCCAUCCCGCCGCCACCUCCUGCCCCGCCCCGCCCAGCCAGCCUCACCGCGCGCCGCCCGCCGCCCACCGCAGCCGUGCCCUCUCCCAUCGAUGCUCCACCAUCCCCUGUAUCCAUGCUUCGCCGUCUGAAUCCCGCCGUCGAGUCCGUCCCGCUCGCCGUGGCCAAUGAUCGCGUCGACCGGGACCGCGUCCCUCCCCAAACGGCGGCGAUGAUGGAGGGUGCCUCCAAGCUCCUGACCGACGGAGUCUCCGGGUUCCCGCUCCUCGGGGCCAGCCCCUCCGCCUUGUCGGGUCGCGCAUCGGCUUGGAGGCCCCUCGCGGCUGCCGCCAGUGCGGGAGUCCUGCGCGGCCGUGAGGGCUGAGGACCAAGCGGCGGGGCCCGUGGUGCGUUCCUGUUGAGGGCUUGCUGGGGUUGGCCGGGAGCUGAGCCGCCGCCGAUGGAUUUCUCGCAGAUCGUUGUACCAUCGUCCCGGUCGCCGCCGCGUCAGUUCCACACCGCUACAGUGCUGCCUACCACCGUCACUCCAUUGGCUUGGAUUUGUUUGUGGCAUGGGCUGGGAACUGUACGGUGUUGUCUGAUGCAUGUUCCGCACUAGGAGGUUUGGUCGGCUGACGCUAGGUAUGAGCAGCUCUUGAGCCUGAUUGCUGGAUGUGGGCAAGCAUCCAUGUAUACUUCUCAACUUGCACUGCUUAUACAACACAUUGCCUGUACACCACGGCCGUGGACAGGCGGACGUGCUCCUACUCCUCACAAGGCACCCACAGUCUUUAUUAGCAAGCCAAUCCAAAACUUUAGCACGCAUUUUUUUGAAAGGACAACUAAGUAUCUUUGUUAGUAACAUCUUUGUCAGAAAUUAGAAAAAACGCCAGUGCAUUAGUUGAGCUAAUCAGCUAGCUUCAUCUCUUGGAUUAUGCAUUGAUAGUAUGGCACAUGUUGUAUCGUUAUAAGCAAUUUUUGUUAGGAGGUAAGAUUUUAGUGUCGUCGUUCAGUUUUUGUUACAUACAAAAUGAAUAUGAUUAGUUAAUUCUGUUUUCUUUUAAGAGGCAUUUCUCUCACCAGCCUUUGUGUUAUCCAUGUGAAUUCCACUAGAUUUAUCAUCCGUGUACCUAAAUUGUGCAUAUUAUCAAAUUUCUGGAAAAAAAGUUGAGCGCUUAUUGUGGCACCACACCUAGAGCUAAAAUCAAGGAACCUUCAUGGAUUUUGUUGACAAAAAAGACAACAAACUUAAUUUAACGGCUUGAAGUCAAUUGCACAUGUCUCAUACUGCAUUGCACCUUGGCCGACACACUCGACCACGACAAGCAGCAGCUCGGGAAGCCUUUGCAAUUCAUGUAUUUACAACAUUUACAGUUCAUGUAUUUACUGUCAUGCAUUGCACCUUCAUGGGUUUUGUUGUACUUCUGCAUUUGUAACAUUUACAGCUUAAUGCAAUCAGGAAUUGGUUAUAGAUUUCAUGUGAUUUAAUUUCUGAAUGUUAACAACAGUGACAACUUGUGACUUUCGUAAGUUUUAUUUCCAUUGAGACAGAGCGGGCAAUGGAUCGUGAGAUGGAAUGAAAUUAUAAGCAAAUUGAUCUGGCCAUCUCUGGUUGUCAGGGAAUCCGUGUGAUCUGUUCUACUUUGACUUGGAGUGUACAGCUAUGAUAUUGUACGCGAUGAGUUUUUUUUUGAUUCUGCUACUAGAGGCCAGUCAGAGGUGGUAAUUAUUAGUGGCAAAAAAAGAGGCGGAAGGCUAUGAAGGAAGUGUUCUUCCCUUAUUUUUUUAUGAAGCUGGGCACUGCCUCGGCUGCAAAGCGUAUGUUGUCCCACGAAGCAGGCCCUCGUUUGCAAGGCUGAUGAGGAUAGCUUCAACUUCACCGCCUAUUCUGGUCGAUGAUGUCAUUGAUAAUAACCAGGAAGUUUUCACCGCUCAGUUCAUCCAGUUGAAUCCUUCUAUUGUUGUUAUUCUAUUCCCUACCCUUUCUUACUUGUAGGAAAUUCAAGUGUGGUACACAUGUGAUUAUCUUCUCCUUCCUUCUGUUGUAUGCAUGUGGUCAUUUGUUAUCCCGAUUAAGAAUCAAGAUCCACUACAUUCUUGAAUAUUGAAGACUGUUUUAGUUGGUCCAGAUUAAACUUGAUAAUACAAUUUCCUUGUUGGUUCCAUCUGAGUUGUAUUAUUGAUUUGGGCAGUUUUCAGUAAUCUUAAGCCGUCUUCAGAUUUUAGCUUCUUCAAUCAUUCUGAAUUAUUUAACCUCAGUAUGAGGUACAUGUGUUCCAAAGAUUAAUCCUGAGAAAUUUGUAGUUGACCAGUUGGGUCUGUUUGAUUUGUUCAGUAGACUGCAACGGCAGUCACCAUUGUUCAGAUCUAUUCUAAAACUGCAUUAUUAGCACUGCAACAUCUUUGUUACUUCAACCAAAUAGUUCAGCCGCGUCUUAUUGAUUUGGACGGGUUCUUACUAAUCUUUAAGCCAACUUCAAAUUUUAGCCUGCUCGGUCAAUUUGGAUUAUUUAGUGUCAAUUUUGAUGCAUGUCUUUAAUAAAAUAAGAAACUGUUUUUGGGUGCUAAAAUAAACACUAAACACUACUUGUUCAUGGCGACUAUGUGUAGAAAGACGAUCACGGUGGAGAUCCCGACGGUCGACGUGAAGCCGGGGUGGAAGAAGGGCACGAAGAUCACCUUCCUAGAAGGAACAAUCUGAUUUUUUCCGUCUUAUUUGCAGCGUAAACUAUGUACACUAAUCAUUAGACCAUCUUUGAAGAUCUGAUGAACAAAAGCAGAAUGGUUCUUUCUAUACUGUUCGACCCCCCCCCCCCCUUGCGUUUUCUCCCAGGGAGUGGGUAGCGUGCAACACUGCCAUGCUCCUCUGCCGCGCAGUCAUCACAGGAUGGGGCGGCGACCUCACCUUCCUAUUCAAUGUUCUGCCGGUAGCGAUGUUCUCUGUCCAGGAGCAUCCGGACAGGGAGGUGCUCCACGCUAUGCGUCUAGGCAUGUACUGCAACGCCGACCACAUGGCUAAGAUGGUCGUUGCCGUCACCGAGUUCCGUGCUCUCUGUUCUUCAUUAAAUCCAGAAAAACUCAACCUUUUUCCCCAUGCCUAAAGUUAUCUGGGAAGAUUUCUCCAACUUCUUUCGGUGUACUCUUGGCAGUAACUCCUGAGAAGUACUCUGAAAACAACAAUACAUAUUUUUCUUCACCAGAUGCGGAAACUAAAAGGCGAGUACCAUGGGAUCAUGAAGUAUAUAAAGCAAAGGAGGAGUUGUACCAUCUCCUCUCCGGCAAGAUCCUUUUUUUUGCUGGGGAAUAAACGAAUUGAAUGCAAGAUUGCAUUGUUACAAGGACAGAGAGUGGACCACCACCUUCAGUUUCUCAGAUUCCCUGUUUGCAUUCGCCAUUCUCAACAAGCACCAGGAUGUGGCUUUGGUUCUACACAAACAAUAUCUUCAGUGGUUUCUAGAUCAAGCCCUAUGUUCUUUAUCUGAACAAUAGACAUUGUAAUUGUUCCAUCCAUUACCUCUGAAAGUCAAGAAUCGAAAGAAAAGUCAUUGGCAUAUCUCUGUCACCAAGGAAGGUUCGCUAGACAGAAAAAUGACCUCUGGUUAUGUAUGAGAUGAUGCAAUGCACAUAUCUCUGAAUGAAGCACAACAUGAAUUUACAUCCUCUAAUGCUAACUGUUGAUCAUUCUUCUCUGAAGUAUCAAGUCAGUAUCUCAUUUGCCCCCUAUUCAUCUGUCAUGUCUGCAUGAAAAAUUAUUGCAAUUCUAAUCCUAUGUUUAAGGGUAGCUAAAUUUCUACGACUUACCAUAUUAUCUUUUUGGAAUAGCAGAUCAACUUUCAACAUGUACUUCUGUUGUAACAUCUCAUUUAUUUUGUGCUAUUACCUGAAAGAGGUGUGGACUGGAGAAAUUCAUGAUAA